RNAcentral lists this ribosomal RNA (404 nucleotides) under uncultured microorganism. Its description in RNAcentral is "bacterial SSU rRNA". It matches the Rfam family "Bacterial small subunit ribosomal RNA", at positions 9 to 410 of the family's 1533-position model. The record is from RNAcentral.
GAGUUUGAUCGUGGCUCAGAUUGAACGCUGGCGGCAUGCUUUACACAUGCAAGUCGAACGGCAGCAUGAUCUAGCUUGCUAGAUUGAUGGCGAGUGGCGAACGGGUGAGUAAUACAUCGGAACGUGCCCUGUAGUGGGGAUAACUAGUCGAAAGAUUAGCUAAUACCGCAUACGACCUGAGGGUGAAAGUGGGGGACCGCAAGGCCUCAUGCUAUAGGAGCGGCCGAUGUCUGAUUAGCUAGUUGGUGGGGUAAAGGCCCACCAAGGCGACGAUCAGUAGCUGGUCUGAGAGGACGAUCAGCCACACUGGGACUGAGACACGGCCCAGACUCCUACGGGAGGCAGCAGUGGGGAAUUUUGGACAAUGGGCGAAAGCCUGAUCCAGCAAUGCCGCGUGUGUGAAG